Molecule: ribosomal RNA, 414 nt
Filed under: actinobacterium BAL208
Lineage: Bacteria; Bacillati; Actinomycetota; Actinomycetes
Description: bacterial SSU rRNA
Rfam family: Bacterial small subunit ribosomal RNA
Source: RNAcentral
ACAUGCAAGUCGAGCGGUAAGGCCUUUCGGGGUACACGAGCGGCGAACGGGUGAGUAACACGUGGGUGAUCUGCCCUGCACUCUGGGAUAAGCUUGGGAAACUGGGUCUAAUACCGGAUAUGACCGCAUGCCGCAUGGUGUGUGGUGGAAAGAUUUAUCGGUGCAGGAUGGGCCCGCGGCCUAUCAGCUUGUUGGUGGGGUAAUGGCCUACCAAGGCGACGACGGGUAGCCGACCUGAGAGGGUGACCCGGCCACACUGGGACUGAGACACGGCCCAGACUCCUACGGGAGGCAGCAGUGGGGAAUAUUGCACAAUGGGCGGAAGCCUGAUGCAGCGACGCCGCGUGAGGGAUGAAGGCCUUCGGGUUGUAAACCUCUUUCAGCAGGGACGAAGCGUGAGUGACGGUACCUGCA